CUACGGGUGGCUGCAGUUAGGAAUCUUCUGCAAUGCGCGCAAGCGUGACAGAGUGAGCCAGAGUGCUUCUCAACGAGAAGCUUUUGCUAAAUGUAAAAAGUUUGGCGAAUAAGGACUGGGAGAGACUGGUGCCAGCCGGCGCGGUAAUACCAGCGGUCCAAGUCGCAGCCAUCAUUAUUGGGUCUAAAACAUCCGUAGCUUGCUAAGUAAGUUCCUUGUGAAAUCCUGCCUCUUCAGGGUAGGGCGUGCAAGGAGUACUGCCUAGCUAGAGACUGGAAGACGUAAAGAGUACGUUUGAUGUAGCGGUAAAAUGUUUUAAUCUCAAACGGACUAACAACAGCGAAGGCACUUUACGAGGACAGUUCUGACAGUGAGGGGUGAAGGCUAGGGGCGCAAAUUGGAUUAGAUACCCGAGUAGUC
Molecule: ribosomal RNA, 420 nt
Filed under: uncultured archaeon
Lineage: Archaea
Description: partial 16S ribosomal RNA
Rfam family: Archaeal small subunit ribosomal RNA
Source: RNAcentral